This 468-nucleotide ribosomal RNA is filed under the name uncultured bacterium. Its description in RNAcentral is "partial 16S ribosomal RNA". It matches the Rfam family "Bacterial small subunit ribosomal RNA", at positions 28 to 507 of the family's 1533-position model. The record is from RNAcentral.
GACGAACGCUGGCGGCGUGCUUAACACAUGCAAGUCGAACGGAAAGGCCCUGUUUUUGUGGGGUGCUCAAGUGGCGAAAGGGUGAGUAACACGUGAGUAACCUGCCCUUGACUUUGGGGUAACUUCAGGAAAAUGGGGCUAAUACCGGAUAGGAGCUCCUGCUGCAUGGUGGGGGUUGGAAAGUUUCGGCGGUUGGGGAUGGACGCGCGGCUUAUCAGCUUGUUGGUGGGGUAGUGGCGUACCAAGGCUUUGACGGGUAGCCGGACUGCGAGGGUGACCGGCCACAUUGGGACUGGGAUGCGGCCCAGACUCCUACGGGAGGCAGCAGUGGGGAAUAUUGCACAAUGGGCGGAAGCCUGAUGCAGCAACGCCGCGUGCUGGAUGACGGCCUUCGGGUUGUAAACCGCUUUCGCCUGUGACGAAGCGUGAGUGACGGUAAUGGGUAAAGAAGCACCGGCUAACUACGUG